RNAcentral lists this ribosomal RNA (303 nucleotides) under Triticum aestivum (bread wheat). RNAcentral's name for it is "partial small subunit ribosomal RNA". The record is from RNAcentral. Lineage: Eukaryota; Viridiplantae; Streptophyta; Magnoliopsida; Poales; Poaceae.
AUGCUUGUUCCAACCAUUGGAAUUUUCAAAGACCAGCGCCGCAAGAACAUGUCACUGGAGGCUCAAGAUACAAGGCCCAACUGGAAGAGACAUCUUCCCAAGGGCUGGUUAUCCAAUUCUAAAAGAGGAGCUUGCUAUGGCCAUCCAGGGUCCAGGGUGAUUACAUACGCGGCGAAUGCAGAUGCAUAUGGUAAGCUCCGUGUCGACAUGACGAACAAGCACCAGUUGGGAGCCCAGAUGAAGAAGGCUGCCAAUGGGAGAAAGAGGAGAAGCGAUGAGAUGUUUGUGGCAACUUAUGGAUGA